This is a non-coding RNA of Dipodomys ordii (Ord's kangaroo rat), 73 nucleotides long. The record is from Rfam. NCBI's taxonomy places the organism in Eukaryota, Metazoa, Chordata, Mammalia, Rodentia, Heteromyidae.
GGGAAGGUGGCUCAGUGGUAGAGUGCUUGCCUUGAAUGCAUAAGGCCCUAGGUUUGAUUCCUCAGCCACCACA